This 9962-nucleotide long non-coding RNA is filed under the name Lynx pardinus (Iberian lynx). The record is from RNAcentral. Lineage: Eukaryota; Metazoa; Chordata; Mammalia; Carnivora; Felidae.
GUUUAAAUGGAGCCCAUUCUAUCUGCAUUUGCUACAGGAUAAUGUGGAGUGAUAGGGUUGAGAGGAGAUGCUGGGAAGGGCGUGACAGAGUGAGCUGGGCAAUCCCCAGAAUGAAUUAAGAAGUAUCAUUUGAACAGCUGCUCGUCUAUCACUGACUUUUGCAGAGAGGGUGUUUCACUGCAGACUCUGAUAUUGAGAAGGUAGAGGUGGCUCAUGGUGUAUCCCAAGUCUCAGUCUUCCUGUGUGUUAUGGGUUGAGUUGUGUGCCCUCCUCCUUCCCCUCCCCAACAUUAAUAAAGUCCUAACUCCCAGUACCUCAGAAUAUGACCUAGUUGGAGGUAGGGACAUCGCAGAUGUAAUUAGUUAAAAGGAGGUCACACUGGAGUAGAGUGGGCCCCUUAUCCAUAUGACUGGUGUCCUUGUAAAAGAACCCACAUGAAGAAACGGACACACACACAGGAAGAAUGGCAAGUGAGCAUGAAGGCAGAGAGUGGAUGAUGCCAUCUACAAGCCCAGGAGGGAGACCUGGGAUAGAUGGUUCCCUCACAUCUCUCAGACGGAGCCAAACCUGCCGACAUCUUGAUCUCGGAUUUCCAGCCUCCAGACCUGGGAGGCAAGAGCUUUUUGUUGAUAAGCCGCCCCGUGUGUGAUACUUUGUUCCAGCAAUCCUAGCAAGCGAGCACAUACUCCCUGCAUUUUGAUUUGGUGACUAACCCUUCCUUUCUGUAACAUCUGGUAGUUUCCUUGGACUGGGGUGCUAGACUUUAGAUACUGAGCUUGAUGUGUUUGCAGAACCCGGGUCUCUGUCAGUCCGCCUUAGUUCUGCAGCCAGAACUCUCUCUCUGUGUCCUCUCAAUGUCCCUGCGUUGGGUCACGAGUCAGGCUACUCUUUCAGGAUUAUGGUUCUUCCUUUGAGAGAAACUUCUGAGGAAAUUAUGUCAACUCUUACAUACUCUCUAAUUUUACUACAUUUUAUUUUAUUUGUUUGACUGAUGUUCUUUAUAAUUUUAACGUGAGGCAGAGACUUGCUUCACUUAAUUUAAAAAUGGAGUUUCCGUACCUUUGGGGUCUUUUUGUUGUCUGAUGGAUUUCAGUGAGUGUGGUGGACUGAACAUAACUUUCUUCUACCAUCUAUAAGUAAGUACUUAAAAAAACCUUAUGGUGACAAACAUUUCCAUUUUGAUUUUUCAGAUAAAUAAGCUCAGUCAAGGAAUUUAUUUAACAGCAAGGGGAUUUAUGAUGAAAAUGAGAGCUGGUGCCCUAAGAGUCUCUGUCAUGCUGGUAGUUUGGUGUAAGUCGAUUGAAAGUGUGUGUAAACACCUUUGUGAAGCACGGGGCUGAGUGUGGGACAUCUCUGUGUCUUCCCUCAGAGAAAUGAUAAUAGUCCUUCGGUGGGGCGUGAAGGUAGGAAAAAAAAAAAAGAAUUAUAAUCCAAUGUGGUAAGUGCGGUCUCAGAGAUAUGGAUAGACAGGUUCUUUGGGGUCUAGACUCCAGAUUCUAGAGGAGUAACUCUACCCUGAUUAACAGGCACUGAAUUAGAGGCUACAUUUGUUACUUCCAGAGCUGAUUUUGACUGGGAUAGACAUGGAUCACUUCUAGUGCAGACGAGAGGGAGGUUCCAGAGGUAAUCUCAAAUUAAGUUUAUGCCAGGGGUUGACAAGCUUUUUGUAAAAGGGUCAGGUAAUAAAUAUUUUAGACUUUGUGGGCCAUACUUGGUCUUUGUCCCAUAUUCUGCCUCCCUCUUUUUAAACACAACCCCUUAAAAAUGUGAAAAUCGUUCAUAGCUCUUGGGUCAUAUAAAAAUAGGAGCGGACUAGAGUUGGCCAACCCUUGUUCUAUUCCAGAGUGCAUCUUAAAUUCAUUCCAUACUUAUCUCUAAGUCUUGGGAAUGGCUCCAAACCAAUAGAACAAGAUCUCAGAUAGGAAUGCUGUUGAGAGUUAACCAAGCCUCAGAGUGGAGUAGACUGUGUUAUUGUUGUCGUUGGCUGCCCUUUGUGGGAGGGAUGUGUGUGCCCACUCCUGCCAUGUGGCUUGCAGUGUUGCGCCCUAUAGGUGGAUUUCCUUCCGCAAACAUUGGGCAGGCUGGGCUCUAUAAAAACAUGAGUGGAAAGGUGGUGUGCCUCUUCCUGGUAGAAGCUGAAGUGUCAUCAUGUGGUCGCACCGUUAUGUGUUUCGGCCACUGGUUGGAUCCACCAUUGCAUUCUCGUUCUUCCUUGAGAUCAACAUGAUCCAGAUGGGCUUGGUCCCAGGAUGAAAAGACAACAGAGCAGAGUCAAAACCAACUCUCAGUUGAUCUGUAACAUAAGUGAGAAUUAAAUCUUUGUUCUUAGAAGCCCGUGAGCUUAUUUGUUUAUUUGUUUGUUUGUGUAUUACAGUUAUAUUAUGUAAGGAAGCUUCCUAGCACACAAAGAAACUUGUGUCCCCCAGUUUGGUCCACCCUUCUGAGCUGAGCAGACGUGGAACAAAAGAGUGGAGUAUGUUUUAAUGCAUGAGUAAACUUUAAAAAAAAAUAAUUCUCACAUUUCUUAUUUUAUAAAAGUAGCUCAUUUUAGAGAGGGGCAAGACUUGCUACAGAUUGUUCAGAGUUCUAAGCAAGGAAAUUUAGAAAAGCAGAAGCUGGAGGCAUGUACAUCAAGCCAAUGUUGCCCCAACAGCUGAUUGUCCGGGAAACCCAGAGAACACUGAACCCAAAAAAGUCAAGGUAAGCAUGACUUGUGUUUAUGAAUAAUGCAUAGCUAAAAAGUGAAAUAACAACACUGCAACUAUUUCUAAAUAAUGGUCUAUAAAUAAUAAGCACAGUUUUAAUCACUAGGCCAAGUAAUAAAACCUGUCCACGGCGCUGAGCCUUUUUGAGUUUCGGAGCAUUAGUUGCUUACAAAGUGCCGUUAUCUUCAAAUGCUAAGGUCUGCAUCUGUAAAUUCUACUGCCAAUUCAGGAUCUUGUCCUUGCCAGUUGAUGAACAUACAGGAUUAACUUUUAGUGUCAGAGAUUCCUUUGCAGGCUGCUCUCAUGUAGGUUGAACUCAUUUAUUAAUAAUAAUAAAUGACAUGUCCUGAACAGUUUACAUGUGCCAGAUAUGAUGCUAAAUGCUUCGGAUGACUUCCUCAUCGCUCUCAACCCUGGCGCAACUUUGUGAAGCAGGUACUAUUAUUAUCUCAGGCUGAGAAAUGAACAAGCAGAAGCUCAGAGACGGGCGAUAAAUUGACGUGGGUUACACAGUGAAUGAACGAUGGGAUUGGAAUUUCGAUGCAGGGUUGACCCUACAGCUCCCUCUCUGGUCUGGAGGAUACCUGCACCUUACAUCUGUCUAUUUUCUCUGCCACUGGCAAGCCACGGGACCUUGUAAAAGUCCAAUAAGAUCACAUCUUUGAGAUCCCUCUGAAAACUGUCAUGCACUGUGCAGAUGUAAGUUUUCAAGGUUAACACUUUUUGUAACCCCCAAUUGUCCAGGAGACACAACAAACGACCAGUCUGGAGGAUUCAGGUGUGAGACUCUCCAGCUGGGGACUAAGUCCCAAUGGGACUUACAAGGGUGAACUUCUCUCUUGCCCUCGCAUCUCCUCCCGGAGUGAAUUCAUUAGCACAACAUCUCAUAUUUUCUAGGGUAAGCAUAAUAUGUGGCCUGAAAACCGACCUCCUGAGACCAGUUCCUUGGACUCCUUAUACCUGAAUUUUUGGAUCAGACGUUUAAUGUUUCAGGCUAAUGUUUUAAAAAUGGAAAUGAAUCAGAAGACAGAGGGUGCCUCUGGGAUCUCAAACUGGUUUUUGUCCUCUUUUCACAGAAGAACGAAGGUAAGCGAUUUGCAUUUAAAUCACUCUGAUGGAAACACCUAGAAGGACAGAGCUAAGAUUUGAGAGCAGAGUAGAGAACCAAAGGCUUCUGGCUCUUGGCAGGUGGUGGAACACCCAGUGAGCCCCUCUUGGAAGAGCCUGCAGCUGGCACCUGGGGACAUGAUGCACUAGUGGUCUCUUGAAGUGGCCGAGUCCUUGAGCUGGACUGACACACAGCUCUUUUCAUGGAUUGGACAUCAGCGACUUUUAUAAGGCCAGGGACCAUAACCAGGGUGUUUAGUUGUGAGAGAGGGCUAAGAGCAAGGAGGGGGAGGAGAGUGAAGGGGAAGGGAGAGGGGAGAGGCAAAUGAAUGAGGGAGAGUAGGAGCAGGAAGCUUAGAAAAGAAUUAGGAAAAUGAGGAAUGUGUUGCCUCAACCAUCAGGGAGAACAAAACCCAAAAACCAAUCAAGGAAAUGUAGUGUUGAAUCUUUUAACUAAGAUCCUUGGUCUUUCCAUUUCCACCUUCAAAGUAUGAAAACAGUUUGUGACUAAUCACGUAAAUAAAAAGCCGACUGCAUCUGUCAUGAAAAAUCACUAGACCUCAAUCAAAACAGUCCCCAAAUGUCUCCAUAACCAUUAAUCAUUUGAAACAGAACCAUCCAUGGGCGGUUGUUCAUUUCUCUUGAAAGUAGGUGUCACUAAAUACGUAAUGCCUCUUUAUUUAAAGGAUAAAUCUUUAAAAAUAUUAGGUCCUAGUCUAUCUGUUAACACUCAGGGAGCCCAUGCUCUUACUCGAUUUAGACGUUUAAAAAAUUAUAAAUUUCUGGAGUUUCAGAUGAAGUCUACUUGUGAUUUAACACCAGCUUCGAUACAUCCCAAAUUCUUGCAUUUUCUUCGUUGAAAAAACUCAAUAUUGUAGAGAUACUAUGGAUGAUGUGCUUCCUUUGAAAGCAAGGGCGUUUUAGUUCACCGUCUCUUCAUCAUUGUUUUUCCAAGGAAAGCCAGCGUGCUUUCAACACUGGGUAUGUUUGAAAUGCACAUCAUCCACGUAGUCGGAAAGGCGCUCUGCACCAGCUUGUACAAGUUUGCCAAACUUGGGAGGAGACGCAAACAUCCUACUCUAGGGCUCAGAAAAGGCCGAACUAGAGCUGUGGAUUUCCCCUCAUCAGCUUUACUUCUGUCAGGGUUUUGGCCCUUGAGGCUAUCUCAAAUGACAAGAGUUGGCUUCCAAUAUACAAAUUACGGUCAUUGCCGCUAUAGAAAUGCUGCGUAUGUUUACUUUUACAACCCAAGCUUUUGAAAAGUGGCAGCAGAGAGAAACUUGAACUAUUCUCUAGAAUCGGGCAGUAUACGGAGGGGAGGUUUAUCCUAUAGUCGUGGGAGGGAGAGGCUGAAAAAUUGUCAUAACUGCAUAAAUCCAACCAAAGGAUGAGUCUGUGCUCCAACUGGCGGUUAGGGAUUAAGAGACACUGAGCAUAGAAGCAUGUGUCUUCGUCUGUACGUAUCCUGUACACAAAUGUAGGGGGAGACACCGAAGGCCAGAUCUGUUCCGAUCCCUGGCAGUUUGAAUUAACAAAAUAAAAUGGAUCUUUUGCAGUGUUCGUGCAGAGUCUAGAGAACUAUAUUUUGGGAAUGAUGUGGGGGUUCCCGUAUCCAUCUGGUGGGGGUUGGGACUAGUUAAUGCUGCUGGCCUAGAGAUUUUAUGAAUUCCACCUGGGGCCUUCUUCUGUUGCCACAAAAUCUGUGUUUUAUAGGAAGUACGUUACUGACCUCCCCCCACGCUGACCCCUGUGCUGCCCCAAACCACAAUAAGUUCUAUAUGAAUAUGGUUAAUAAAUCCGAGUUAAUGUGACAACCAAUGAAGUAAAAUCCAGGAUCUUCUUGCCUUCUCCAGGAGAACAUUCUUACCUGUCUGGGAACCGUCUAUCUAUUUCGGUCAUUUAAACCCCCCAAAAGUGAGCCUAAUGAAGGAUUUUUCAAGAAGGAGAGGAAGACCAGCUAGCAAAAGGUAUCACCUAGGUCCUAUUAAUCCAGCUCCCCAAUUAGCAUCUUCUGGAGUGGGAUGCUUUGUGCAACCUCAAUGGCCAUGGGCAGUGAUGUUGGUACAGAAUCAGUGGGCUUUGCAAAGGUAUGUGCUUAUAACGUGGAAACAAUCUGUCACACGUAGCAAGAGUUCUGUGUGUGUGUGUGUGUGNNNNNNNNNGUCUGUCUGUCUGUCUUCUCUGUGUCCCUGUGUCUGGACCUCCACCGAAUUGUGUGUCAGCAUAUUUGGUGCACAGAUGUGGGCUACAAGUGCUGUCUGAUAUCGCCCCCGCCCCCACUGGCGUUGAAGACCUUCUUUAUCACCAAAGCGGGCUCUCAUGCAUGAUCGGUGGGUCAGCUGAGGGCCAUAAUAAAUCCUGGCCAGCCCUGCCCAGUAAUCUUUAGACUCCGACUCCUCCUCGACUGCCUUCCUGGGAAAUUCCUUUGGCACAUUGCUUCAAGGUGAGUAAAUGGGCAGGAGCAGUGGAGGAGGUGUUUAGAAGUGGCCUUGACUCCUCUUUCAGUUGGAAACUGUAUCUGAAACCUGAGCCAGGAGAUGCUUGUCUUACACUACUGUGGCUGGGAGAGCUACUGUUAUAACCUAGAGGGCAAGGAAGACAGCAGAAAAAGAAAACCUGGAUGUGAAUGCCACGUAAAUCAUGGGGCAAGGGUCCUGAGUAUGCAGCUACAUCUAACCAUGUUUUUUGUCUGAGAUGGUCAUGGAGUUUGACUCUGAAAGUCACGCAGAUGAUCCAGAAAAAGAGCCAGGAAAAAUGGCUAAAAGGCAACACCGUCCAGGGGAAUGUUCUGUGAUGAUGGGAAUGUUCUAUAUCUGUGCUGUUCUGUCAGUAGCAACUAGUCAUAUGGCUGCUGGGCACUUGGAAUGUGGUAGUGUAGUGUGAUUGAGAAGCAGAAUUUCUUAUUUUAUCUAUCUAUCUAUCUAUCUAUCUAUCUAUCUAUCAUCUAUCUAUCUACUGUAUUUUAUUUUAGAGAGAGAGAGAGCACAAACAGGGGAGAGGGCCUGAGGGAGAGAGAGAAUCUCAAGCAGUCUUCACGCUCAGCGUGAAGCCUGACGUGGGGCUCUAUCCCAUGACCCUGGAUCAUGACCUAAGCCGAAAUUGAGAGUUGGACACUCAACCGACUGAGCCACCUGGGCGCCCCCAGAGUCUCUAAUUUUAAUUGAUACAAAUGUAAAGAGCCACCUAUGGCUAAAAAANGCGGCCGCCAUAUUGGAACUGCACAGAUCUAGGGCAGCCGUCUGCAAUGAGGGAAAUGCAUAGCUCCUCUGUCCCAGAGGGUAGCCACUAGCCUCAUGUGACUAUCGAGCACUUGAAAUGUGGCAAGUGUGACUGAGGAAUUGAGUUUUGAGGAUCAUUUGCUUGUAAUAAAUUCAAAUUUGCAUUUGGAAAGCCACAUGUGGCUAGUGGCUGCUGCACUGGGCAGCACAGGGUCAAGGCAUCAGUUCAAGAUGCAGCACACUCUCCUGCUCAGCGGGUUUGCUUUUCCCUUCCCUGAGGUGAUGCGUAUUGCUCACUUCUCUCUUGGUUGAAGGAAAACUCCCCUGAAGUCACUUGUAAGGCCCAUCACCUUCCUUAUUCUUCAGUCACCAACUUGUUUCGGGAGCCCGUAAAGAAGGUUUAGGGCAAAAUGUUUCUGGAUAUGAUAUACUUGCUACUUGCGAAUGUUCUCUCUGUGGACACAUGGACCAUAUCCAAUGGUCCAAUAUCCAAUUUCCUAAGCUACUUUCACACUGGGCGGGUCUCCCGUCUGCCCACGGGAUUUAUCUCUGAGAAUGCAACGAAGCUUAUUUUCUGAAUUCAAGAUUCUCCAGGCUCCUUCUUCCUCUCAUUGUUUGUUUUAGCUGCAGUUUUAUUCAUCUGUUUUACCAUUGCUGUCACGUCAAAGUCUAGACAUGUGCUCAUGGUCAAACAACUUGAAGGAACUAUCUGCUUGAGUUGGAUUCCCCCUGUGUCCGUGGCAUUCAUAAAUAUCCCUACAAACACCACUUGGAAGGAUACACUGAAUCACCCUGAAACCCCUCGUCGUUCCUGGUUUUACCUAUUUACUGUCUUACAGUUCUGGAAGACAGGAGUCUGACCGUGGGUCUUACUGAGCUAAAUCAAGGUGUUGCUGGGCGCUGUUACUUCGGGCAACUCCAGGGAAGAGUCUGUUCCCUUGCCUUUUUCACCCUCCGAGAGGCUCCCUGAACUCGGUGUGCGGUCACCACCUCCAUCUUCAAAGACAGCAGUCGAACAUCUUCAAAUCUCUCUAUUUGUGCUUCUCGCAUCAUAUCUUUUUCUCGGACUCUGGCCCUUUGUCUCCCUCUUCACUUACAAAGACAUCUGUGAUUGCACAUCCAGAUAAUCACCCGGGAUAAUCUCCUCAUUUCCAAGUCAGUUUAUGACCCCCUUUGUUCGAUGUCCCUUAUUUUGAUUUCCCUUUGCCAUGUAAUAUAGCAUAUUCAUAGACUCUCCGGGUUAGGAUGUGGAUAUCUUCAACGUGGUAAAAUUCUGACCGUCACAUGCAGACCCAGGUAGCACUAACCCUCCCAGGGGGACCUGGUGUUUGUAUAGUGAGUGCGACAGCGGUGCUAAGAAAGCCAGGGUUGCUUUGUCAUACAUUUACUUUAUGUCCUUGAGCAUCGUCAGCUUAGAUUCCUCAUUGCUAUAGUGGAGGUAACGAUGGCUAAUUCACGCAGUUGUCGAGAUGAUUGAGUAACUUGUGUAACAUUCCUUGUACGUGCCUUGGCAUCUCCCAGUACUCAAGACAGCUCGCUUCCCCUUCUCUCCUGGGCUGCGUGGUUGCCGCGGUGCGUGGGGUCUUUCCGUAAAGAUGUUGAUGGGAACUGCACACCGUUUCUUCCUCUCCUCCCGAGAAGGCAUUCCCCCCCAUCCCUUUGUGUUUUCAUCCCCUAUGGCAGCGUGCAUCGUGUUGUACAAUAUUACAGAUGUAGGGUUUUAAGCAAGACUCUGUGGAGUAACGUUUAGCAACCUAUACAAACACAUCGUCUAGCUUCAUACUGUGGCUUUUGCAGACACUCAGCCUGGCUGUCCGUUCUGGGGCUGCUUGGAUGCCUGGCAUCAACCUCCCGACGCAUUGCUGGUGCCAGAGGAGACGUGCCAUGUGAGCAGAGCCACCCGUGGUCUAGACGGCGGUCUGGUGGCCCCGCCUCUGGGUGAGGGCCGCGGAGCUGAAGUGAGGAGGAGAGAAUGCUUUGGUCCCUUUAGAGUCAACUCGGAUACCAAAUCCUUGACCUUGAGUUUAGGAAUAAGAAGCAAAGAAAUCCCUAAGCUCCUGGGACCACGGGCUGCCACCCAUUGGUCACUCCCAGGGUGUGAUCAACAUUCUGUGUGCUUUGCAUUUACUAACUCCUGAAAUCCUCCCCCUGCUCCUUAGAAGUGGACGCUAUUACUAUGAUUUCUAUCAAGCAGAGAGAAGCUGACCAAGGACACAAGCCUAGUAGGGGAUAGAGUCAGGUUGGAAGCCAGGUGGGGAGUCUGGAACCCAGUGAACAAGCACCUGGAGGGGCUGAAGGGAGUUAGUGUCUUCUCCCUUCUUUUUUUUUUUUUAACAAUUUUUUUUAAAUGUUUUUAUUUAUUUUUGAGACAGAGAGAGAGCAUGAGUGGGGAAGGGGCAGAGAAGGAGGGAGACACAGAAUUGGAAGCAGGCUUCAGGCUCUGAGCUGUCAGCACAGAGCCCAACGUGGGGCUCGAGUUCACGGACUGUGAGAUCAUGACCUGAGCUGAAGUCAGACGCUUAACCAACUGAGCCACCCAAGCGCCCCAUGUCUUCUCCCUUCUUUAUCUCCUCCCCGAGGCAGGGGAAGUUCUAGGAGAAGGAGGCGGUCUUUUAUUUAUUUAUUUAUUUAUUUAUUUAUUUUUUACUUUUUAUUUUACAGAGAGAGAGAGCGCGCACGAGCACGGAGAGGGGCAGAGAGAGAUAGAGAAUCUCAACGAAGCUCCAUGGUCAGCGUGGACCCAGAUGUGGGGCUCAAUCCCAUGACCCUGGGAUCAUGACCUGAGCUGAAAUCAAGAGUCGGAUGCCCCACCGACUGAGCCACCCAGGCACCCCAGAAUAAGGCAGUCUUGUUAAUAGAAAGAGUAGAAGAAACGGGGAAAAGAAUUGGUGUGUGUUACGUCUAGCAUUUUCUAGCAUGUUUGUGAAUUAAG